RNAcentral lists this ribosomal RNA (414 nucleotides) under uncultured microorganism. Its description in RNAcentral is "bacterial SSU rRNA". It matches the Rfam family "Archaeal small subunit ribosomal RNA", at positions 330 to 745 of the family's 1478-position model. The record is from RNAcentral.
GUGCAGCAGUCGCGAAACCUCCGCAAUACACGAAAGUGUGACGGGGCCAUCCCGAGUGCCGUCCGCUGAGGACGGCUUUUCCCCAGUGUACAUAGCUGGGGGAAUAAGGAGAGGGCAAGCCUGGUGUCAGCCGCCGCGGUAAUACCAGCUCUCCGAGUGGUGGGGACGCUUAUUGGGCCUAAAGCAUCCGUAGCCGGCUAGGCAAGUCCUCCGUUAAAUCCAACGAUUCAAUCGUUGGGCUGCGGGGGAUACUGUCCAGCUUGGGGGCGGGAGAGGCCGACGGUAUUCCCCGGGGUAGGGGUGAAAUCCUAUAAUCCCGGGAGGACCACCAGUGGCGAAGGCUGUCGGCUAGAACGCGCCCGACGGUGAGGGAUGAAAGCUGGGGGAGCGAACCGGAUUAGAUACCCGCGUAGU